GAUGAACGCUAGCUACAGGCUUAACACAUGCAAGUCGAGGGGAAACGAUAUUGGAAGCUUGCUUCCGAUAGGCGUCGACCGGCGCACGGGUGAGUAACGCGUAUCCAACCUGCCCACCACUUGGGGAUAACCUUGCGAAAGUAAGGCUAAUACCCAAUGAUAUCUCUAGAAGACAUCUGAAGGAGAUUAAAGAUUCAUCGGUGAUGGAUGGGGAUGCGUCUGAUUAGCUUGUUGGCGGGGUAAAGGCCCACCAAGGCGACGAUCAGUAGGGGUUCUGAGAGGAAGGUCCCCCACAUUGGAACUGAGACACGGUCCAAACUCCUACGGGAGGCAGCAGUGAGGAAUAUUGGUCAAUGGGCGAGAGCCUGAACCAGCCAAGUAGCGUGCAGGAUGACGGCCCUAUGGGUUGUAAACUGCUUUUAUAAGGGAAUAAAGUGAGUCUCGUGAGACUUUUUGCAUGUACCUUAUGAAUAAGGACCGGCUAAUUCCGUGCCAGCAGCCGCCGUAA
This 508-nucleotide ribosomal RNA is filed under the name uncultured bacterium. RNAcentral's name for it is "partial 16S ribosomal RNA". It matches the Rfam family "Bacterial small subunit ribosomal RNA", at positions 28 to 523 of the family's 1533-position model. The record is from RNAcentral.